ACGCUAGCUACAGGCUUAACACAUGCAAGUCGAGGGGCAGCAUGGUCUUAGCUUGCUAAGGCCGAUGGCGACCGGCGCACGGGUGAGUAACACGUAUCCAACCUGCCGUCUACUCUUGGACAGCCUUCUGAAAGGAAGAUUAAUACAAGAUGGCAUCAUGAGUCCACAUGUUCACAUGAUUAAAGGUAUUCCGGUAGACGAUGGGGAUGCGUUCCAUUAGAUAGUAGGCGGGGUAACGGCCCACCUAGUCUUCGAUGGAUAGGGGUUCUGAGAGGAAGGUCCCCCACAUUGGAACUGAGACACGGUCCAAACUCCUACGGGAGGCAGCAGUGAGGAAUAUUGGUCAAUGGGCGAGAGCCUGAACCAGCCAAGUAGCGUGAAGGAUGACUGCCCUAUGGGUUGUAAACUUCUUUUAUAAAGGAAUAAAGUCGGGUAUGGAUACCCGUUUGCAUGUACUUUAUGAAUAAGGAUCGGCUAACUCCGUGCCAGCAGCCGCGGUAAUACGGAGGAUCCGAGCGUUAUCCGGAUUUAUUGGGUUUAAAGGGAGCGUAGAUGGAUGUUUAAGUCAGUUGUGAAAGUUUGCGGCUCAACCGUAAAAUUGCAGUUGAUACUGGAUAUCUUGAGUGCAGUUGAGGCAGGCGGAAUUCGUGGUGUAGCGGUGAAAUGCUUAGAUAUCACGAAGAACUCCGAUUGCGAAGGCAGCCUGCUAAGCUGCAACUGACAUUGAGGCUCGAAAGUGUGGGUAUCAAACAGGAUUAGAUACCCUGGUAGUCCACACGGUAAACGAUGAAUACUCGCUGUUUGCGAUAUACAGCAAGCGGCCAAGCGAAAGCGUUAAGUAUUCCACCUGGGGAGUACGCCGGCAACGGUGAAACUCAAAGGAAUUGACGGGGGCCCGCACAAGCGGAGGAACAUGUGGUUUAAUUCGAUGAUACGCGAGGAACCUUACCCGGGCUUAAAUUGCAGAUGAAUUACGGUGAAAGCCGUAAGCCGCAAGGCAUCUGUGAAGGUGCUGCAUGGUUGUCGUCAGCUCGUGCCGUGAGGUGUCGGCUUAAGUGCCAUAACGAGCGCAACCCUUGUUGUCAGUUACUAACAGGUUCCGCUGAGGACUCUGACAAGACUGCCAUCGUAAGAUGUGAGGAAGGUGGGGAUGACGUCAAAUCAGCACGGCCCUUACGUCCGGGGCUACACACGUGUUACAAUGGGGGGGUACAGAGGGCCGCUACCACGCGAGUGGAUGCCAAUCCCAAAAACCUCUCUCAGUUCGGACUGGAGUCUGCAACCCGACUCCACGAAGCUGGAUUCGCUAGUAAUCGCGCAUCAGCCACGGCGCGGUGAAUACGUUCCCGGGCCU
This 1354-nucleotide ribosomal RNA is filed under the name uncultured bacterium. Its description in RNAcentral is "16S ribosomal RNA". It matches the Rfam family "Bacterial small subunit ribosomal RNA", at positions 33 to 1381 of the family's 1533-position model. The record is from RNAcentral.